AGGUGCUCUUUGUGGUACCCACAGGAGAAGUUUGGGCGUACUCGUGAUGUGUCAUUUCAACAUCCAAUAAAACUUUAUUUUGGUGCAAAAUUUGGCAGCUGCCAGGAGGUCCAGAAAUUUCAAUAUACAGAAACAGUCAUUUGGUUAUUGAGACGUCACAAGAGAUCAAUGAUGUACCAUAUGGAGAUUAUUUUCGUGUUGAGGGGCUAUGGGACAUAGUUAAAGAUGGUGAUGAAUCAAAAGAAGGCUGUAUUUUGCGGAUAUAUGUGGA
This 271-nucleotide unclassified non-coding RNA is filed under the name Hevea brasiliensis (rubber tree). Lineage: Eukaryota; Viridiplantae; Streptophyta; Magnoliopsida; Malpighiales; Euphorbiaceae. The record is from RNAcentral.